GAUGAACGCUAGCGGCAGGCCUAACACAUGCAAGUCGAGGGGCAGCACGUCUUCGGAUGGUGGCGACCGGCGCACGGGUGCGUAACGCGUAUGCAACCUACCUCUUACAGUGGGAUAGCCCAGAGAAAUUUGGAUUAAUACCGCAUAGUAUACAGAUUCAGCAUUGGGACUGUAUUAAACAUUUAUGGGUAAGAGAUGGGCAUGCGUUCUAUUAGUUAGUUGGAGUGGUAACGGCACCCCAACGACAGCGAUAGAUAGGGCCCGUCGAGAGGGGGAGUCCCCCACCACUGGCACUGAGACACGGACCGAGACUCCUACGGGAGGCAGCAGUGAGGAAUAUUGGACAAUGGGCGGAGAGCCUGAU
This 364-nucleotide ribosomal RNA is filed under the name uncultured bacterium. Its description in RNAcentral is "bacterial SSU rRNA". It matches the Rfam family "Bacterial small subunit ribosomal RNA", at positions 28 to 387 of the family's 1533-position model. The record is from RNAcentral.